RNAcentral lists this transfer RNA (73 nucleotides) under Camelus bactrianus (Bactrian camel). It matches the Rfam family "tRNA". From Rfam's summary of the family: Transfer RNA (tRNA) molecules are approximately 80 nucleotides in length. Their secondary structure includes four short double-helical elements and three loops (D, anti-codon, and T loops). The record is from Rfam by way of RNAcentral. RNAcentral also lists the same sequence under 2 other names. Lineage: Eukaryota; Metazoa; Chordata; Mammalia; Artiodactyla; Camelidae.
GGGGAUAUAGCUCAGUGGUAACAGCGUAUGCUUAGCAUGCAUGAAGUCCUGGGUUCAAUCCCCAGUACUUCCA